AAAUCAUAAAUCAAAUUAUUACAGUUUUCCCAAUUUCUUCUCUUCUUCAUCUUCCUUCUUAAAACCCCUGAUCUCCAUUGCUUAUCAACGUCUUCUCCUUUUCCGUUUCAAUCCAUCUCUGAUUCUAAAUCCCCGCCGCUAAUUCGGACCAUGCCAACUCAAUCCCUUUGGUUUUACAAUCUGGAGUCUUCACUUCGAGCUGUUCCAAUCCAUCAGACCACCUGCCGUCUACUCGAAAGCACUCGGGAUUUUGGAUUACAGUAUGCUAAAUUCUGGAGAUUGACCUGAUGCAUCACAAGGCUGAAUGGCAAAGUUUGGUGAUAGGCCCUCAAUUGCAAAAAUUCAUGAGUUUAAGCUUGUGAAGAAGGGACCUCUUGUAUCCUUUUGGAUUAUUUCAUCCAUCAAUGAAAUCAUUUCUUAUAAAAAGAAAAAAAAAAAAAAACAUGUGAAGAAGGGCAUGACUGUGUGAAGUAGUUUGUGUUGUCAGAGUCGAUCCUGUAAAUUUUUGGUAUUUAGGACGAGGCCCAUGUAAGGGAGGGUUGGUAUAGAGAAGCAUUUGUGAGAGGAGCCAGGUUUUCUUUUUUCUGCAUUUUUCAGCUUGUUUUUUUGGACAGGAAACAAUUUCAUUGAUGGAUGAAAGUCCAAAGGAUAUACAGGAACUCCCAAUCAUAGGUAACACAAAAAAUGGAUCCAAUUUGCAACAAGAAAAUCUAUGCUGUAGUCUUUGAGAGGUAGGUAAUCCUUACACCAGAAAAGAACAAUAAAAAAUCUCCUUUGAUGUUUUUGCUCUAUUGUUGACAAUGCAAUCAUUCUGUUCUUCUCAAAUCUCAGACAAUACCACACAAAUGAUUUUGGUUCAAAUGUAAGCUUUGUGGCCUUUUGUUGAUUAUCAAAUUGUUGGCGUAGGCCUAACAUUUAGGUCAAUGCAUUGGCUAACUCUCUUCUCAGAGUAAACUCCUAAUUUUAACUGGAUCUUGCCGUUUGAUUACCUGUUAGCCCAUUUAGUCAUUCUGUCCUUCAAUGUCUUACUCAUGAUGGUAGAUACUGAAUCUGUACGUAGUAUAUCUUUCAAGGCGGAAAUUUAAUGAACGUGGUUUGUAGAUAAAGUUUCUUGCUAUUGGUGUACAAAAUUUGGAUCUAGAGCGUUACUGGUAGAAAAUAGAAGAAUCAAACAUCUGAGUUUUGUAUUGCAUCUUUCUUACAAACCCCUUAGUAUGUUCUUAAUGUAUCUAGCAUCUAUUAGAUAGAAGAUUCAAACUCUUAUAUCCUAACAAGACUAAUUGAACGUUUGGCAUUAGGUAUCCGCAAUUACACAGCUUCUAAUUCUUUUGGAUUUCUACUGAAUUUGAAACAACUUCCUCAGGAAACUAGGAGGACCUCCUGAUUUUAUAUCACUAAAUCCAAUAGCUUUUAUUUUUAUUAUUUAUUUCUUAAAUCCAUUCUAUCCUAUCCCCACAAAAUCCAAGGGAAGAAUUAGAGCCUAUAAGAUUUUAACAAUGUUUUAACGACUGAUUUUUUACCCCCUGAGGGUCAUUCCGGGGGAGCUGAUUUUUGACUUGAGAAAAAAGUUAAAAGCCAAUGGACUCUGUCAUUGACAAUAGUUGUGAUCUUGAGAACGACCUUAGAAUCUCUGUUCUAGAAGUUCCAAUAGAUGGAGGUGAGCCUUUUCUUUUAAUAAUGGAUGAUUUUACUUUUUGUGUCAUUAUGGAUAUUUUUCUAUAUAACUUGAGGCUUAUGGCUCGUAUGCUUCAUCCCUUAGGAAGGAGAAAUCUUGAGGCCAGCUUUAGUUUUAAAAUGCUGGUUGUUAGUUAACAUUAUAACAUUAAACUAUUUGGAAUAAUGAGGUCCAUGGAUGAAGUACAAUGCCUAGAAGAAACCUCAAUAAAUGAAACUCUGGAAUGAACUUCUCUCCUGAAUUCUGAUAGAAUAGAACCCAGAUGAACUAAUAGAAAGGCUAUUAGGGUAGAAUUCGCAAUACAAUUAUGGUUUUGAUUGUAUAUUAGUAAUUAGCUAAAGGAAGUUGUAGGGUGAAGGGGAAAGUGUAGUUGGUUCAAUACUUGAGUGAUCCAAGGCCAAGUGGCCUCAUAUACAUGGGGGAGUGAUAUUGUAUUCCAUUAUAUUUUUAUAUUUUAACACAUUUCGGUUCUUUCAAUUCUAGAAUAUUUGCUCCCCAGAUAAGUGAUUGGAUAAUAUUAUUUAGUGAAGUGAGGGGGGAAAACAAAAUCACCUCACCACAAUAAAAUUAAGCUCAUUUUCUCGGACCCAAGACUCUCAUAGGUGCACAGUAUUUUUUCUCUUUAUUUUAAUUUAAUUUGUAGACCAUGCAAUUUUAGUAAUAAGAACCAGAAGAGAUUUGGAUAAAUUGAGGAAUCUAAUCAUACUAGAGUUCCUAAAGACUAAAACCGUGUUUGAUAACGACUUUGGUUCAGUUUAAUGUUUUUGAAAUUCAAGGUUUUCUCAUCAUUUCUUUAUUGGAAAAUUAAUUUUUAGAUUCUACUUUUUGUAGUUCUUAAAACAUGACUUUAAUUUUGAAAACAUUUGACGGUAAAUAACAAAACAAAGAAACUCAUAAGUAGAGGUAGUAUCUAUUUGCUAAAUUUUUUAAAACAAAAAAUAAAAUGGGUUCUAAUUGCAAUCAUUUUUUUCAGAACACCAAGCACAGGAACUUACUGUUGGAAGUGAUCUGUAAAUUGAUUGUACUCUGAUAUACUGGUAACUCUGAAGUCCUUUGAGUUGAGUUCAUAUAAUUGUGACUUAGGGCCAGAAAUGCAAACUAGUUUUUUGUGAUACGUUUAGAAAUUUUUUGAUGACUCUGCAGUGCAGUCCUCGUUUUCUGGUUUAUGGAAGUCUACAUAGGGAUACUGAAUAUAGCCUUUCUUAUUUUUCAGCACCCUUCUAAGCAAUUGAGGUUAUUUGAAAGAUCGUUUCUAUUUUGGAAUAGUAUUUAACAGGCAGAUUUGAUGCAGGAAAAUCCGUUCUGCUCUACUCCCAGAUGGUAUUACAAGAAAGGGCAGACCUGAAUCACCUCUUCCUCAGCUCUAUUUUUUUAGAAAAAUAUUUUUUUUGGUUAAGUCGUCGUUUUUGAACUAUGGUUUUUUUCUUCUUAUUUUAGUGUCUUUGUCAGUUCAAAUGUCUAAAUUUAGUUUAUGUACUUUUGAUAAAUCUUAAACUUAGUCUAUACUACUAGUUUAUUGUUAAAUAUUUUUCCAAAGUAAAAAGUCUAUUAGUCUCCAAUCUAUAAAGUUUAGAAACUUUCUCACAUCAUGUUUCUUUUCCUUUCUCUUCUAUGAACAUUAUUGUUAUUAAGCAAAUUUCAAUUAAAAUUAGCUUCAAACUAUCAUUAAGCUCCAAUUUAAGAUUUAUAGAAAGUACAAAACUAAAUUUACAUCUAAGAGGACAAAGUAGAGGGCCUAAAUGGUAUGUUAACCCCACCCUCUCUCUAUAUAUAUUUUGUUUCUUUGCAACUAAUCGUCGGAGGAGCUUUUUGUUCUAUCUGGUGCCUAGAGGAAUCCCUUUGUAUUGAGAUUAAUGGUAGUUGGAGAAGUUUUUGUGUUCCUGGUAGCAUUCCCAUGUCUUGAUUUUUAUGCCUUUAGUUCUCUUAUAUCUUUCUUCUUUUAAUGAGAGAGUUCUUAUCUAAUAGAAAGAAAAGAAUGUGAUCUUUCGUCUGAUAUCCAGAGACAUUCACCCAGUUCUCUAAUUGAUAUUUGGAUUGUGGAUGGUAAUUAUGUACAUUACUGCUACCUAAAUAUCGUUUCA
Long non-coding RNA from Cucumis sativus (cucumber), 3756 nucleotides. RefSeq lists it as uncharacterized. Lineage: Eukaryota; Viridiplantae; Streptophyta; Magnoliopsida; Cucurbitales; Cucurbitaceae. The record is from RefSeq and is a predicted model, not a curated record. The transcript is spliced from 2 exons.